GACGAACGCUGGCGGCGUGCUUAACACAUGCAAGUCGAACGGAAAGGCCCUGCUUUUGUGGGGUGCUCGAGUGGCGAACGGGUGAGUAACACGUGAGUAACCUGCCCUUGACUUUGGGAUAACUUCAGGAAACUGGGGCUAAUACCGGAUAGGAGCUCCUGCUGCAUGGUGGGGGUUGGAAAGUUUCGGCGGUUGGGGAUGGACUCGCGGCUUAUCAGCUUGUUGGUGGGGUAGUGGCUUACCAAGGCUUUGACGGGUAGCCGGCCUGGGAGGGUGACCGGCCACAUUGGGACUGAGAGACGGCCCAGUCUCCUACGGGAGGCAGCAGGGGGGAAUAUUGCACAAUGGGCGGAAGCCUGAUGCAGCAACGCCGCGUGCGGGAUGACGGCCUUCGGGUUGUAAACCGCUUUCGCCUGUGACGAAGCGUGAGUGACGGUAGUGGGUAAAGAAGCACCGGCUAACUACGUG
RNAcentral lists this ribosomal RNA (468 nucleotides) under uncultured bacterium. Its description in RNAcentral is "partial 16S ribosomal RNA". It matches the Rfam family "Bacterial small subunit ribosomal RNA", at positions 28 to 507 of the family's 1533-position model. The record is from RNAcentral.